UACGAAGGGGGCUAGCGUUGUUCGGAAUCACUGGGCGUAAAGCGCACGCAGGCGGAUCGUUAAGUCAGGGGUGAAAUCCCGAGGCUCAACCUCGGAACUGCCUUUGAUACUGGCGAUCUUGGAGUCCGGGAGAGGUGAGUGGAACUCCGAGUGUAGAGGUGAAAUUCGUAGAUAUUCGGAAGAACACCAGUGGCGAAGGCGGCUCACUGGCCCGGUACUGACGCUCAAGUGCGAAAGCGUGGGGAGCAAACAGG
This 254-nucleotide ribosomal RNA is filed under the name uncultured bacterium. RNAcentral's name for it is "partial 16S ribosomal RNA". It matches the Rfam family "Bacterial small subunit ribosomal RNA", at positions 524 to 776 of the family's 1533-position model. The record is from RNAcentral.